UGGUCUGACAGUAGAGAGUAGUAUAGAAACAGUAUAGUAUAGUAUAGAAACAGGAGCAGAUUAACAGUUCUUGGCUAAUGGAUAAAAUACACACCUCCUUUUCUGAAUAUGAUGAGGUAUACAGUAGACUGAAGGUAACUUCCAGAACCAGGGUCAUUAUGAUGAGGUAGACAGUAGACUGAAGGUAACUUCCAGAACCAGGGUCAUUAUGAUGAGGUAGACAGUAGACUGAAGGUAACUUCCAGAACCAGGGUCAUUAUGAUGAGGUAGACAGUAGACUGAAGGUAACUUCCAGAACCAGGGUCAUUAUGAUGAGGUAGACAGUAGACUGAAGGUAACUUCCAGAACCAGGGUCAUUAUGAUGAGGUAGACAGUAGACUGAAGGUAACUUCCAGAACCAGGGUCAUUAUGAUGAGGUAGACAGUAGACUGAAGGUAACUUCCAGAACCAGGGUCAUUAUGAUGAGGUAGACAGUAGACUGAAGGUAACUUCCAGAACCAGGGUCAUUAUGAUGAGGUAGACAGUAGACUGAAGGUAACUUCCAGAACCAGGGUCAUUAUGAUGAGGUAGACAGUAGACUGAAGGUAACUUCCAGAACCAGGGUCAUUAUGAUGAGGUAGACAGUAGACUGAAGGUAACUUCCAGAACCAGGGUCAUUAUGAUGAGGUAGACAGUAGACUGAAGGUAACUUCCAGAACCAGGGUCAUUAUGAUGAGGUAGACAGUAGACUGAAGGUAACUUCCAGAACCAGGGUCAUUAUGAUGAGGUAGACAGUAGACUGAAGGUAACUUCCAGAACCAGGGUCAUUAUGAUGAGGUAGACAGUAGACUGAAGGUAACUUCCAGAACCAGGGUCAUUAUGAUGAGGUAGACAGUAGACUGAAGGUAACUUCCAGAACCAGGGUCAUUAUGAUGAGGUAGACAGUAGACUGAAGGUAACUUCCAGAACCAGGGUCAUUAUGAUGAGGUAGACAGUAGACUGAAGGUAACUUCCAGAACCAGGGUCAUUAUGAUGAGGUAGACAGUAGACUGAAGGUAACUUCCAGAACCAGGGUCAUUAUGAUGAGGUAGACAGUAGACUGAAGGUAACUUCCAGAACCAGGGUCAUUAUGAUGAGGUAGACAGUAGACUGAAGGUAACUUCCAGAACCAGGGUCAUUAUGAUGAGGUAGACAGUAGACUGAAGGUAACUUCCAGAACCAGGGUCAUUAUGAUGAGGUAGACAGUAGACUGAAGGUAACUUCCAGAACCAGGGUCAUUAUGAUGAGGUAGACAGUAGACUGAAGGUAACUUCCAGAACCAGGGUCAUUAUGAUGAGGUAGACAGUAGACUGAAGGUAACUUCCAGAACCAGGGUCAUUAUGAUGAGGUAGACAGUAGACUGAAGGUAACUUCCAGAACCAGGGUCAUUAUGAUGAGGUAGACAGUAGACUGAAGGUAACUUCCAGAACCAGGGUCAUUAUGAUGAGGUAGACAGUAGACUGAAGGUAACUUCCAGAACCAGGGUCAUUAUGAUGAGGUAGACAGUAGACUGAAGGUAA
Molecule: long non-coding RNA, 1538 nt
Organism: Oncorhynchus keta (chum salmon)
Lineage: Eukaryota; Metazoa; Chordata; Actinopteri; Salmoniformes; Salmonidae
Exons: 5
Source: RefSeq, a predicted model, not a curated record